RNAcentral lists this ribosomal RNA (253 nucleotides) under uncultured bacterium. Its description in RNAcentral is "partial 16S ribosomal RNA". It matches the Rfam family "Bacterial small subunit ribosomal RNA", at positions 524 to 776 of the family's 1533-position model. The record is from RNAcentral.
UACGUAGGUGGCAAGCGUUGUCCGGAAUUAUUGGGCGUAAAGCGCGCGCAGGCGGUCCUUUAAGUCUGAUGUGAAAGCCCACGGCUCAACCGUGGAGGGUCAUUGGAAACUGGGGGACUUGAGUACAGAAGAGAAGAGUGGAAUUCCACGUGUAGCGGUGAAAUGCGUAGAGAUCGGGAGGAACAUCAGUUGCGAAGGCGGCUCUCUGGACCAGCACUGACACUGAGGCACGAAAGCGUGGGGAGCAAACAGG